RNAcentral lists this non-coding RNA (29 nucleotides) under Mus musculus (house mouse). The record is from RNAcentral. Lineage: Eukaryota; Metazoa; Chordata; Mammalia; Rodentia; Muridae.
UNCACUGAGCUUCCUCCACAGAGGCCUGU